CAAUAGCGUAUAUUAAAGUUGUUGCAGUUAAAAAGCUCGUAGUUGGAUUUCUGAUCGAGACAUCAGGUCGGGUCCGAGAGGAUCAUGUACUUUGAUUUUGUUUUGAUCAUCCUUGGGGAGAGCAUUUCUGGCAUUCAGUUGUCGGGAUUGGGAUCCUCAUCGUUUACUGUGAAAAAAUUAGAGUGUUCAAAGCAGGCCUCGGCCUCUGAAUACAUUAGCCUGGAAUAAUAAGAUAGGACUUUGGUGGUCUAUUUUGUUGGUUUGCACGCCAAAGUAAUGAUUAAUAGGGAUAGUUGGGGGUAUUCGUAUUCAAUUGUCAGAGGUGAAAUUCUUGGAUUUAUGGAAGACGAACUACUGCGAAAGCAUUUACCAAGGAUGUUUUCAUUAA
RNAcentral lists this ribosomal RNA (388 nucleotides) under uncultured eukaryote. RNAcentral's name for it is "partial 18S ribosomal RNA". It matches the Rfam family "Eukaryotic small subunit ribosomal RNA", at positions 592 to 976 of the family's 1831-position model. The record is from RNAcentral.